CGCAGUGUUCCAGCUUAAGCGCAUGCUCCCAUCGCUUUUCCAUUUUGUCGGAAUACAAUGAAUAGAGUUGAAAUUAUUACAAUUAAUUCCAUGAGAAACGCUCCACAUGAUCAUCGUUGCGCAUGCUUUGUUUACCAACAAAGCGACCAUGCUGUGAAAGAACGGCAGAGCGUAAUAUGAUUAUCUCUCUCACUCCAGUGGUUUAAGCAUGCGCUAUGUUGUUCAUACAUUUAGUACGUUUGGGACGAAACAGCUGAUCGAUAAGUGAGCCCUUUCUCUUUCUUUUCUAGCUACAUCUCUUUCUGUCAUGUUGAAUUUUAUCGUUUUAGGAACGUAUACAAGGGUGGGUUGAAAAGUCGGCGAUAAUUAAAAUGAACUUUCGCCCGAAAAAAACGAUAAAAGUUCACGGGGGCUAUUCUUCCGUUUUGCCCAAAAUUGUGAAUGCGGAUAAGUGAUUUCAAAACGUUAGUUAACGAUACGUACUGAGCAAGGUACUUUAAAAAGACAGGUACCUUCUUAACCGCUUUGACAGGUCACCAUUUUGAAUUUGUUUGACAUUCAUAGCAGGGCGCUUUUUUCAACAAAACCACAUCAUUCGAGCGACCGAGUUGUGUUUUACAGCGAGUGAGCACGGUCCAGGAACGCUAGCUAGCUUUUGUUCCAGGCCGCGUGGCAAGACCUACGGACCGAUACCAUAUUGAAAGUAUUGAAAGAAUUUUGGGAAUAUUUGCAUAAACUUCAACUUUCGUGCCACUUUUCGUGAAUUUGAACUGUCGUAAUACCACAGAAAAGCGAAAACAGCUCCGAAAAGAGCGUUCCCGAAGUAAACAUCCCACCAUCCCGUGAAUGUCAAACUCUGAAGUUUUUUCUAAAAUACGAUCGAGGAUUUGUUCUGGAUAAAGCUACCUGUCUUUUUAAAGUACCUUGGUACUGAGCUACUGAAUUAGUUAGACAGUUGGGGAAAUCAUUGUUGAUGUUCCGGCCGGUAGGACACCAAAAUGUCCUUGUUCCACGCUAACGCAGGAAAGGCUGAGAUCAUACGCAGCGUGCAGAAGGAUCAGCUGCAUAUCGAGGAGGUACGAACUGCCCUUAGUGAUCUGCUUGUGGUGCUGAGUCAGAGGCACUGGUACCGAUACAAUGCGCUUUGCAAGCCGAUAGCCGAGACCCUGUACCAUCACUACGCGAUCCUGAAUAAUCUGCAGACCCUGGGCGAGGAGUACACAGGCAUCAUACAGGUCGACUCAAACUAUGUGAUGCUUCCGAACAAGGUGCUCCAGUUGCUAGCGAUUCUGCUUCAGUUCGGCGGUGAGCCGGCUGCUGACCAGCUUCUAGCUUAUCUACAGUAUGAGCUGCAGCGUAGUGGUGAGCUGCUACCUUCGGCAAAGCGAGCGAUCAACAAGUUCAUAGAGUUCGUGCGAGCCAGCAUUCCGUUCGUACGUGCCUUCCAUACCAGUAUGUUCUAUAUUAACGGGGGCAAGUACCACAUCUCGAAACGACUGACUGGAAUUAACUAUGUGUUGAUCCGGAACUGGCUGAAGGAAAACCACUCUAUCCUGGGCUAUAGGGUACUGGGUUAUGUUACGCUUGCCCAGCUGGUGCUCACCCUAGCUGCCUACUACCGACAGCAUUGGCGGGAUGCACAGAGGGUACCUAAAUCAAUGCAAGACAAAGUCACAGUACCUGCAAGGGCAAGCGGUCGGACAGAGAACAGCGACAGUUCGUCAGGCACUCCGCAAAGCAAAUGUGCACUGUGCAUGGACAAGAUACAGGAGGUUAGCCUGGCGCAAUGCGGACACCUGUUCUGUUGGCAGUGCAUUUUUAGCUGGCUCGAUCAGCGCCAAGUGUGCCCGAUCUGCCGGGACACCAUAAAAAAAUCACGGAUCGUGCGGCUGCAAAAUUUCGUCAUUAGCUCAGCGACACCUCAACAGACCAUCCAACGGUGAGCCUGUCAACUCUGGUUUCGUUAACUAUGUUAUUAUAGAUUAACCGUUUUAGCAAUUACUGGAUCGCUAAUAGACGUACAAUCCAUGUUACAUAAUAACAAUAUAACGUACAGAAAUUUAUAAAGAGCAAACUUAAGGUGAAUCGUAACCAUUAUGAGAAUUAACAAACGGUAAAAUUGUAGGUACAAGCACUACUGUGGGUUUUCAUGAAUGAAAUACUUGAUGAUGAAAAAAUUACAGUCACUAUGCAAUCAACCAUGUAAGCUAUUUCUAAUAGCCAGGUAUGAGAGACAGCUCGAACCUGCGUGCGUUGCUAUUGUGGUAUAUGAGGAAUAGUUGUAUUAAAUAUAUAUUUCAGAAUGGUUACUUGCUUUAUGAGAGCUGAAUAGGAAAUGAUUGAAUAGAUGAAGUAUAUCCCACAAAUUCAGUGUAUUGGCUUUUGGAAACUACAUUUUUCUGGCACGUUGAAAUUUGAUAAAAGAACGUAUUUCAGAAAAUGAGGGAAAAUGAAAUAGAUAUGGAAAAUUCCCUUGGUAAAAGGCAUUCAAAAAUUCAAAUACAAUCAAAUAAGACAGUAAUGAGGAUGGCCAAAUCUUGUACAAGGUAUAACGAUGCUGUUUAGUCGUUUUACUCUUGCGUCUUUCCUCUGCUCUGUGUUUCCUAUUAAACGUAAUCCAGCAAUGCACUGUAAUCUUCCGUAGCUGCAGCAGUAGCAGCUGUUGCUGUAAUAACUUGACCAGGGACUUGACCGCUGUAAGAAUCAGGCC
This is an RNA transcript of Anopheles darlingi, 2710 nucleotides long. It is a transcript of the gene named peroxisome biogenesis factor 10, with no coding region annotated. The record is from RefSeq and is a predicted model, not a curated record. Lineage: Eukaryota; Metazoa; Arthropoda; Insecta; Diptera; Culicidae. The transcript is spliced from 4 exons.